Molecule: ribosomal RNA, 147 nt
Filed under: Sitta europaea (wood nuthatch)
Lineage: Eukaryota; Metazoa; Chordata; Aves; Passeriformes; Sittidae
Description: partial 12S ribosomal RNA
Source: RNAcentral
CAAACUGGGAUUAGAUACCCCACUAUGCCUGGCCCUAAAUCUUGAUGCUUUAUACAACCUAAGCAUCCGCCCGAGAACUACGAGCACAAACGCUUAAAACUCUAAGGACCUGGCGGUGCCCCAAAUCCACCUAGAGGAGCCUGUUCU